Molecule: non-coding RNA, 31 nt
Filed under: Rattus norvegicus (Norway rat)
Lineage: Eukaryota; Metazoa; Chordata; Mammalia; Rodentia; Muridae
Source: RNAcentral
UGUGAGAAUCCUUUCCCAGAUCGCUGGUCAU